GUAUUGCAUUUAAAACUGGGCGGCUUGAGGAUGAGAGAGGAAAGUGGAAUUCCUAGUGUAGCGGUGAAAUGCGUAGAUAUUAGGAGGAACACCAGUGGCGAAGGCGACUUUCUGGCUCAUACCUGACGCUGAGGCGCGAAAGCGUGGGUAGCAAACAGGAUUAGAUACCCUGGUAGUCCACGCCGUAAACGAUGAGUACUAGGUGUAGGAGGUAUCGACCCCUUCUGUGCCGCAGCAAACGCAUUAAGUACUCCGCCUGGGGACUACGGUCGCAAGACUGAAACUCAAAGGAAUUGACGGGGACCCGCACAAGCGGUGGAGCAUGUGGUUUAAUUCGACGCAACGCGAAGAACCUUACCAGAUCUUGACAUCCCUUGAAUUACUGUGUAAUGC
Molecule: ribosomal RNA, 393 nt
Filed under: uncultured bacterium
Lineage: Bacteria
Description: bacterial SSU rRNA
Rfam family: Bacterial small subunit ribosomal RNA
Source: RNAcentral